RNAcentral lists this unclassified non-coding RNA (149 nucleotides) under uncultured Mortierella. RNAcentral's name for it is "sequence contains ITS1". The record is from RNAcentral. Lineage: Eukaryota; Fungi; Mortierellomycota; Mortierellomycetes; Mortierellales; Mortierellaceae.
CAAUGAGUGUUUUAUGGCACUUUUUAAAAAUCCAUAUCCACCUUGUGUGCAAUGUUAGAUCUCGUCAAUCUUGGCGAGGUUUUUUAUACAUCAACUCAUUCUUUAACUAAUUUGUCUGAAAAAUAUUAUGAAUAACUUAAUUCAAAAUA